GAGAACAAUCCCUCUAGAUCGCCAUAGCAACGAGGGGAAGAAACUGACUGGUAAACGGACGGCGAUCUCCCAGUGAGCUACCACUGGAUCAGAGUGAUGGACCAAAGCUGUUCUCCUAGCAACGGAAGCGACACAUAACCGCUGCAGAGAAGACUUUCUGUCAGGCUGCCUCUUCUUGAAAAAACACAACAGAGGCCGAGUGAGAAGUAGCUACAGUUUAAUUCAAACCUGCACCAGAACACAACGUGUUGGGCUGUUUUGUUUUGCCUCAGACGGUGGCCAAAGCAUAGGGCCAUGUGUCGUCUUGGGAUCAAUACAACCUUAGCACCAUGACA
Molecule: long non-coding RNA, 335 nt
Organism: Mus musculus (house mouse)
Lineage: Eukaryota; Metazoa; Chordata; Mammalia; Rodentia; Muridae
Product: predicted gene, 46907
Exons: 2
Source: RefSeq, a predicted model, not a curated record